AUGAGCAAUACAACUUGUUUGCUUGGGAGAAUGGUUUUGGUAUUUGUCACGGCAAGUCUAGAUGGGGAGAAGGACGGUACCAGCAAAUGCACGAAAUUGUGUGUCAAUGCCAGGUUACUUUAUAUACCGCUGUUUCAUGGAUCUAUCGCGUAUACUGUGAUUUGUUCUGAAGUUGUUAUAUUUGUUUCGUUGAGAUUAUGUUGGAUUCUCACUGACAUGUCGUGGGAAAAUGAUUUUCUCCUGUAUGUCAUGAUGACCAAUAUUUUUUUCGAAGAAAAGGGGCUCACACCCCGGUUCCAUUCCACUGGAAGAAACCCAACCAGUCAACAAACAGAGUUACAUCAAGGAGGGAGCAAGCAGCAUUUGCCAAAAGAAAGAAAAAGACUCGUUUUUUGUUCAGCUCACAGACCCGUGAUGAUGACAAAAUGUAUGCCAUGA
Molecule: ribosomal RNA, 438 nt
Filed under: Triticum aestivum (bread wheat)
Lineage: Eukaryota; Viridiplantae; Streptophyta; Magnoliopsida; Poales; Poaceae
Description: partial small subunit ribosomal RNA
Source: RNAcentral